UAUCAGCCGCUAUCAGGGCUUCAUCACGUUCGCCGGCGAAGGCAGCGAACUGACCACCAAUGGCGUCAAUCUGCUCGGCGCGCGCCGGCAUGGUGACACCACGCUGGUGGUCGAUCACGCGGUGCCGCACUGUUCCAGCCGCGAGGUGUUCCGCUCGGUGCUCGACGAUCGGGCCCAUUCGGUGUUCCAGGGACGCAUCAUCGUGCGUCCCGGUGCGCAGAAGACAGACGGCAAGAUGAUGACGCGCGCCUUGCUCCUGUCGGAUGAGGCCGAAGCGGACAACAAGCCCGAGCUCGAAAUCUUCGCGGAUGACGUGACCUGCGGUC
This 326-nucleotide unclassified non-coding RNA is filed under the name Hevea brasiliensis (rubber tree). The record is from RNAcentral. Lineage: Eukaryota; Viridiplantae; Streptophyta; Magnoliopsida; Malpighiales; Euphorbiaceae.